GAAGAUGAGGCCAUCUGGAUUAGCCAUUUGCUUCCCCGUUGUCUCCAGGGUUGAUUCGGCUCAUGUGGUGUACUAGGCAGGUGUCUUCCUUCUACCUCAUUACUUCAAGUGUGUCUCUUCUAAAGUUAUUCACUCAAUAGAAUAAAUGGUGCCAAACUGUUCCCAGAGCAUCAUACCAAUACCAAUAGACCCCUCCACCAGGAACACAUAUACCUGUCUCUCUAGAGCUCCUAAAAACUACUGGGACAGGCAUUUUAAAGUUUGAUUUUAAGAAUUUCAUCUGAAUGUGUAUUAGAAAAAAAAACUUCAUUUGCACAUUGAUCCCAUUUUUAAGGAAUUUCACUUUGAAAUGCUGUCUU
This 359-nucleotide small nuclear RNA is filed under the name Rattus norvegicus (Norway rat). RNAcentral's name for it is "7SK RNA". The stretch from base 1 to 312 matches the Rfam family "7SK RNA". Rfam says of the family: 7SK was discovered as an abundant small nuclear RNA in the mid-70s but a possible function has only recently been suggested. Two independent studies have found that 7SK RNA binds the CDK9/cyclin T complex (known as elongation factor P-TEFb). P-TEFb activates transcription by phosphorylating the C-terminal domain of RNA polymerase II. Lineage: Eukaryota; Metazoa; Chordata; Mammalia; Rodentia; Muridae. The record is from Rfam by way of RNAcentral.